This 194-nucleotide ribosomal RNA is filed under the name Schmidingerella taraikaensis. Its description in RNAcentral is "partial Eukaryotic large subunit ribosomal RNA". It matches the Rfam family "Eukaryotic large subunit ribosomal RNA", at positions 642 to 839 of the family's 3401-position model. The record is from RNAcentral. Lineage: Eukaryota; Ciliophora; Spirotrichea; Tintinnida; Rhabdonellidae.
CAUUGACCCGUCUAGUAACACGGACCAAGGAGUCUCACAUAUGUGCGAGUAUAGGGGUGGCAAACCCCCAUGCGUAAUGAAAGUAACAGUGGUGGGACCGUUUUCGGGCACCAUCCGCCGGCCUUCUGACUUCGGUCUAUCGGUCUGAGUGUGAGCAUACAUGUGGGGACCCGAAAGAUGGUGAACUAUGCCUG